UUGGAGGGCAAGUCUGGUGCCAGCAGCCGCGGUAAUUCCAGCUCCAAUAGCGUAUAUUAAAGUUGUUGCAGUUAAAAAGCUCGUAGUUGAAUUUCGGGAUCAAUUUGCUGGUCAUGCCUCUGGUACGUACUGGUAUUAUUGGUUUCUCCCUUCUGACGAACCAUGAUGUCAUUAAUUUGAUGUCGUGGAGAAUCAGGACUGUUACUUUGAAAAAAUUAGAGUGUUUAAAGCAGGCAUUAGCUUGAAUACAUUAGCACGGAAUAAUGAAAUAGGACGUUUGAUCCUAUUUUGUUGGUUUCUAGGAUUGACGUAAUGAUUAAUAGGGAUAGUUGGGGGCAUUAGUAUUCAAUUGUCAGAGGUGAAAUUCUUGGAUUUAUUGAAGACUAACUACUGCGAAAGCAUUUGCCAAGGAUGUUUUCAUUAAUCAAGAACGAAAGUUAGGGGAUCGAAGACGAUCAGAUACCGUCGUAGUCUUAACCAUAAACUAUGCCGACUAGGGAUCGGAUGAUGUUAAUUUUUUAAUGACUCAUUCGGCGCCUUACGGGAAACCAAAGUGUUUGGGUUC
This 565-nucleotide ribosomal RNA is filed under the name uncultured Glomeromycotina. Its description in RNAcentral is "SSU rRNA". It matches the Rfam family "Eukaryotic small subunit ribosomal RNA", at positions 548 to 1114 of the family's 1831-position model. The record is from RNAcentral. Lineage: Eukaryota; Fungi; Glomeromycota.